Molecule: ribosomal RNA, 486 nt
Filed under: uncultured bacterium
Lineage: Bacteria
Description: partial 16S ribosomal RNA
Rfam family: Bacterial small subunit ribosomal RNA
Source: RNAcentral
AUUGAACGCUGGCGGCAUGCCUUACACAUGCAAGUCGAACGGCAGCGCGGACUUCGGUCUGGCGGCGAGUGACGAACGGGUGAGUAAUACAUCGGAACGUACCCUGUUGUGGGGGAUAACUAGUCGAAAGAUUAGCUAAUACCGCAUACGACCUGAGGGUGAAAGUGGGGGACCGGAAACGGCCUCAUGCAGCAGGAGCGGCCGAUGUCUGAUUAGCUAGUUGGUGGGGUAAAGGCCCACCAAGGCGACGAUCAGUAGCUGGUCUGAGAGGACGAUCAGCCACACUGGGACUGAGACACGGCCCAGACUCCUACGGGAGGCAGCAGUGGGGAAUUUUGGACAAUGGGGGCAACCCUGAUCCAGCAAUGCCGCGUGUGUGAAGAAGGCCUUCGGGUUGUAAAGCACUUUUGUCCGGAAAGAAAUCGCGCUGGUUAAUACCUGGCGUGGAUGACGGUACCGGAAGAAUAAGCACCGGCUAACUACGUG